Triticum aestivum (bread wheat) is the source of this 125-nucleotide non-coding RNA. Lineage: Eukaryota; Viridiplantae; Streptophyta; Magnoliopsida; Poales; Poaceae. The record is from Rfam.
GAUAUACUCCCUCCGUCCGGAAAUACUUGUCCAAGGAAUGGAUGUAUGUAGACGUAUUUUAGUUCUAGAUGCAUCUAUUUGUAUCCAUUUCCACGACAAGUAUUUUCGGACGGAGGGAGUAUACA